Aptenodytes forsteri (emperor penguin) is the source of this 251-nucleotide long non-coding RNA. RefSeq lists it as uncharacterized. The transcript has 3 exons. NCBI's taxonomy places the organism in Eukaryota, Metazoa, Chordata, Aves, Sphenisciformes, Spheniscidae. The record is from RefSeq and is a predicted model, not a curated record.
CUUGACGGAAUGCCGCGUCUAUAAAGCUAAUCGAUUCUUCAAAGGGUAGCUUAAAACCUCUCUAAAACUCUUUCCACCACGAACACAGUGUUAUCUAAUUAUCUAAGUGACCAUGCUGGCUGCGAGGCUAGUAUGCCUGAGGGCAUUAUCAUGCCAGACUAUCCGCCCCACCAUUACUCAGGCUUCCCCAGCUUUGAGGAGCUCCAAUAUAAAAGCAUACAGGCUGUGGCAGCCUAACCAGUGUUUUGCCA